RNAcentral lists this long non-coding RNA (359 nucleotides) under Nicotiana benthamiana. RNAcentral's name for it is "long non-coding RNA (NBEN_LNC030972)". Lineage: Eukaryota; Viridiplantae; Streptophyta; Magnoliopsida; Solanales; Solanaceae. The record is from RNAcentral.
UAUAGUUCCAGUAUAAAGCAGCAAUCCAUUAGGAGGAACUUUGUUAUACAGUUUAAGCCUCUGUUGAGCAGAUGUUAUUGCACCAAGCACAGACUGACGGUUUACUCUGCUCUUAAUAUUUGAGGCAGUACCGUAUUCUUCUGCAAGCAUCUUGGUAAUCUGAGCAGAAGUUAUUGCACCAAGCACAGACUGACGGUUUACUCUGCUCUUAAUAUUUGAGGCAGUACCAUAUUCUUCUGCCAACAUCUUGGUAAUACGAGAUAUCUGAUCACCAGGGGGUAUGAUAAGAGAGAUCAUGCUCGUGCCAUUUCCUCUCGCAGAUUGUAGGGCUUUGAUUAACUUUUUCAUUUUCCAUAUCU